This 549-nucleotide ribosomal RNA is filed under the name uncultured Glomeromycotina. RNAcentral describes it as "SSU rRNA". It matches the Rfam family "Eukaryotic small subunit ribosomal RNA", at positions 548 to 1098 of the family's 1831-position model. Lineage: Eukaryota; Fungi; Glomeromycota. The record is from RNAcentral.
UUGGAGGGCAAGUCUGGUGCCAGCAGCCGCGGUAAUUCCAGCCCCAAUAGCGUAUAUUAAAGUUGUUGCAGUUAAAAAGCUCGUAGUUGAAUUUCGGGGUUAGUAGGUUGGUCAUGCCUCUGGUAUGUACUGGUCUCACUGAUUCCUCCUUCCUGAUGAGCCGUAAUGCCAUUAAUUUGGUGUUGCGGGGAAUUUGGACUGUUACUUUGAAAAAAUUAGAGUGUUUAAAGCAAGCUAACGCUUGAAUACAUUAGCAUGGAAUAAUGAAAUAGGACGUUCGAUCCUAUUUUGUUGGUUUCUAGGAUUGACGUAAUGAUUAAUAGGGAUAGUUGGGGGCAUUAGUAUUCAAUUGUCAGAGGUGAAAUCCUUGGAUUUAUUGAAGACUAACUACUGCGAAAGCAUUUGCCAAGGAUGUUUUCAUUAAUCAAGAACGAAAGUUAGGGGAUCGAAGACGAUCAGAUACCGUCGUAGUCUUAACCAUAAACUAUGCCGACUAGGGAUCGGAUGAUGUUAAUUUUUUAAUGACUCAUUCGGCGCCUUACGGGAAAC